Bacillus smithii is the source of this 41-nucleotide non-coding RNA. Lineage: Bacteria; Bacillati; Bacillota; Bacilli; Caryophanales; Bacillaceae. The record is from Rfam.
ACGAUGUUCCGCUGCAAACGAUCGAUCUGCAAGAGCAUCUG